RNAcentral lists this ribosomal RNA (1167 nucleotides) under Triticum aestivum (bread wheat). Its description in RNAcentral is "partial small subunit ribosomal RNA". Lineage: Eukaryota; Viridiplantae; Streptophyta; Magnoliopsida; Poales; Poaceae. The record is from RNAcentral.
AUGACCACCAGCCGCCGCCACCACCACCGCUGCUCGCCGACGAAGGAUCCGCUGGACGACGACGACCUCCUCGCUGAGAUCCUCCUCCGCCUCCCCCCACAGCCGUCCUCCCUCCCUCACGCCUCCCUCGUCUGCAAGUGGUGGCGCGGCCUCGUCUCCGACCCCCGAUUCCGACGCAGCUUCCGCCUCCACCACCGCCGCAACCCUCCCCUCCUCGGCUUCUUCGGCAGAGACAACGCCCUCUCCUUCGUACCUACUCUCGAGGCCCCCAAUCGCGUCCCGCCUGGCCGCUUCUCCUUGCAGCGCGGCUACGGCGACCGCUUCGUCUCCCUCGGAUGCCGCCAUGGCCUCGUACUCAUCUUCAACGUGCCGCGGAACCAAGUCCUGGUGUGGGACCCCGUCACCGGCGACCAGCGCCGCCUUGCCAUUCCCCCGGAGGUUGCGACAUAUGCAGAGAUGGCAACGACCAAUGGGGCGGUGCUUCACGCUGCUGGAGACGUCCAGAAAUUCCAGGUGGUCUUGGUGGUGGCAGAGGUCGAGGACGAAGAACACAAGCGAGCGGUCGCCUGUAUCUACUCAUCGGAGACCGGCUUAUGGGGUGAUCCCACCUCAGCACCGCUUCCAUCGGGUCAUGAUCCCACCUUGAUUCGUCACUCCGCUGUGCUGGCUGAGCAUUCUCUUUACUGGAUGCUUGCUUCGAUGCUUCUUGAGAAUUUUGUUGGAAUUCUCGAGUUUGAUUUGGAGAAGCACAGCCUAGCUGUGAUACAGGUGCCAGUACAUAUGCUUGAACAGAGCCAACACCGAUUCUCGAUUAUGCGGGCAGAGGGUGAUGGCCUUGGUCUACUCUUCUAUAAGGACCGCGGUUUCCAGUUAUGGAAGAGGGUGACUGAUUAUAAUGGUGUUGCUUCAUGGGGGCUGGGAAGAACUAUUGGACUGGACAAGCUUUCCGUGAAUCUAGAAGGGAAUGACAUAAUGAUACUAGGGUUCGCUGACGAAAAUAAUGUGGUGUUUGUCUGCACACGUGACAUCCGCUUUAUGGUCCAUCUUGAGUCAUCACAGUGCCAGAAACUGAUGGGAACCUAUUCUCAUUAUCAUCAUCCAUUCGAAAGUGUGUACACUGCAGGUAAUAGCAUGCCUUCGAUACUGCUUGUAACAAAAUCCAGUUAA